UACGUAGGGUGCGAGCGUUGUCCGGAAUUAUUGGGCGUAAAGAGCUCGUAGGCGGUGUGUCACGUCGUUCGUGAAAACCUGCAGCUUAACUGUGGGCGUGCGGUCGAUACGGGCAUCACUGGAGUUCGGCAGGGGAGACUGGAAUUCCUGGUGUGGCGGUGAAAUGCGCAGAUAUCAGGAGGAACACCGGUGGCGAAGGCGGGUCUCUGGGCCGAUACUGACGCUGAGGAGCGAAAGCGUGGGGAGCAAACAGG
Molecule: ribosomal RNA, 254 nt
Filed under: uncultured bacterium
Lineage: Bacteria
Description: partial 16S ribosomal RNA
Rfam family: Bacterial small subunit ribosomal RNA
Source: RNAcentral